RNAcentral lists this ribosomal RNA (253 nucleotides) under uncultured bacterium. RNAcentral describes it as "partial 16S ribosomal RNA". It matches the Rfam family "Bacterial small subunit ribosomal RNA", at positions 524 to 776 of the family's 1533-position model. The record is from RNAcentral.
UACGUAGGGGGCUAGCGUUGUCCGGAUUUAUUGGGCGUAAAGAGCGUGUAGGCGGCCAGGUAGGUCCGCUGUGAAAACUCGAGGCUCAACCUCGAGCUGUCGGCGGAAACCAUCUGGCUAGAGUGCGGCAGAGGGGGGUGGAAUUCCACGUGUAGCAGUGAAAUGCGUAGAUAUGUGGAGGAACACCGAUGGCGAAGGCAGCCCCCUGGGUCGACACUGACGCUCAUGCACAAAAGCGUGGGGAGCAAACAGG